GAAAUAUUUCAGCGCUCUACUAAACGCGGUGCACGGAAAGUACUCAAUUUCAACGGUCUCAUAAAUAUGUUCUAAGUUCACUGUUCAGUCAGCCUCGCUGCUUCCCUGCGAGGUCCUUCCUUCGCGACUCGGGACGCUUCUUUUCGGAGGCUGCCCGAAAAUAUGCCUGCGUGAAAGCGCGGCGUCAGAUUAAGUAAAACAAAAUGAAAUGCGACGCCACGGCGAAUAUAUUAAGUAAAAGCAACGCCGAUGCGACGCCCGAAGAAUACAGAACGUGUUCAAUUGUAGGAAUUCACACCGUUUUCGUCAAAAGUGGAUUCUCUGAGCAGCGCGUGCCACUAAGUUUUACACCCUCCCCCACUUUUACGAGCACUCGGUUUAGGAGAAGUCGCGUUUACGAGCAAAUACCGCCCUCGUUCGAUUUACGAGCUGUCCGCCUCCCGGUCAGCGGAGGAAUUCGCGGGCAGCGCUAGUAGCGGCAGCAGCACCGGCACCGCUCUUCUUCUGGACUCGGAGGGACAUAGGAUGCUUACAAAAGGACAUUAGAUCAUCCCACUCGGUGCUACUUGUCAUGAGACGCAGCAAUAUCCAAAAAUUAGAAUGGAGAUCAGAGCCACUGCAGGAGCCUCUCUCUCCUAUAUCGUUUAUGGAGCUCCCACGUGAUUGCGCGUGACAGUCUGGCACCUUCAGGCCUAAUCUCCCGCAUAUUACUGUGCAUUCUAACAUUAUGGCCGCAAUACAGAAAAAGAUGUUGAAAGGUGCCUUAAAGGAGGGUGCGAAGCCCAAAAGGCAGAGGAAAGCCUUGUGCAUGAGCCUUAAACUUGAAGUGAUUAAGCGCCUUGAACGGGGGGAACGAAACCGAGACAUCUGCAAGGCGCUGCGCUUGUCUUCGUCCACGGUGCGCACCAUUUAUUUGAAUAAGGACAAAAUCCAGAAAACCGCAGAGUCUGUGGUCGAUGGCGCAAAAUUAAAAACUGUCUUGAAGGCCAGGCACCCGCUUUAUGAGAAGCUGGAAAGCCUCUUGCUGCAGUGGAUAGAGGACCAGUUGAGUCGCAGCACGAUUUUAAGUUAUAUCGUCAUCCAGCAGAAGGCAAUUUCCUUAUUUGAGGACUUGAAGAAAAAGAUCAUUGAGGAAGGUGACGAGAGGGUAAUAGACAUGGAAUUCAAGGCCAGUCAUGGUUGGUUUGAGCGAUUCAAAAAGAGGGCUUAUCUGCAUAACCUACGGCUCACGAAUGACGCUGCGCCCGAAGACAUCGAGGCUGCCAGAGUUUUCCCGGGGGAGCUCCUAAAAAUCAUCCAAGCAGGCGAUUACCAUCCAAAACAGAUUUUCAAUAUCGAUGAAACAUGGUUGUUCUGGAAACGUAUGAUGUCUGGAACACUCAUAUCACAGGAGGAGAAGAAAGGGACGGGUCACGUGAUCUCAAAGGACCGACUGACGCUGUUGCUUGGUGGAAACCUUCACGGGGACGUCAAACUGAAGCCACUAAUCGUCUAUCAUUCCCAAAACCCAAGGGCUCUGAAAGGCAUCAACAGGAAUUCGCUUCCCGUUUUUUGGCGGUCAAACAAAAAAGGCUGCAUGACCCAGCAAGUGUUCUAUGACUAUGUACAGAAUUAUUUUUGUCCUCUUGUUGAGAAAUACUGCAGGGAAAACAGUUUUUCCAACAAGGCCCUCUUAAUCAUUGACAGCGCCCCUGGGCAUCCAACAACUGUGAUAGGUUAUGGUGACAAUGUGCAAGUUGUGUUCUUACCAGCAAACUCAUCGUCUUUACUACUACAGCCCAUGGAACAAGGCGUCAUUUCAACAUUCAAAGCCUACUACAUGCAGCUGGUUAUGAAAUAUCUUGUCGAUGGACUUGACAGCAACAGCAAUUUGACAAUAAAAGAACUGUGGAAGAAUUACAACAUGAAGAUAGCCAUCGAAAACAUAGCAACCGCAUGGGAGAAAAUACCGGAGGAAACCAUGAAUGCUGUUUGGAUGAAGCUUCUACCGGAAUUUGUGCAUGACGUCAAAGGCUUUGAAAGUGUUGAAAAGACCAUUAAAGAAGACAUUGUGAAACUGGCUUAUAGAGCUGGUUUCGAGCAGGUUCACACUGAAGAUGUUGAGGAGGUGCUGGACUCCCAUACAGAAGAGCUGACUAAUGAAGAGCUGAUUCAGCGUGACGCGGGAGGUCUCGACGAGGAUGACGAGCAGGAGGAUGAGCUGCCGAAAGAGAUGAGCAUACAAGCACUGCGCCAGUAUUUUUCUCUUAUUGAUCGUGCUAAUGUUUUCCUGGAUGAAAACGAUGGCAACCUUGAAAGGGUUCGGCAAGUGAAAACCCGCAUCUCUGAAACCAUUCAGUGUUACCGAGACCUUUACGAGAGGAAGGUGAGGGAUGCAGCGCAGACAAGUAUCUUCUCAUUUUUCCGUCCAGUUGCUUCUUCUGCUUUGGAGCCUCAACCGUCCACCUCAGGCAUCUUGAAAUGUUGCAAGAAAGUUGAAGAGGAGGAGGAGAACAUCAUGGAUUCAUCUUUAAUGGAAUAUGAAGAGGUUACAGUAGGGGCUUCCUCGCCUCUUCCGUCAUUCAUUAGGUUACCAGCAUCAUGCAACAUUCAGCUCACACAUGCGGAGAAACUAAAUUACUGGUUGCCAACGUCAUCUUCUUCCUUGCACACGGUUCCCUGUUGUCGCUGGCAUCUAGCAAAACCCAGUCAAGACCAGCAGUGACAAUGAGCGACAUCUUGUUUGAGGACGGUGAACUUUUAGAGGCGAGGCUUGUUCGCUCUCCUCGCCAUGACCGCCUUCUUUGGGAAUGAGUGAAAAUCACCCGCUGGCUCCUGUAAUGGGAUGUGAGCAGAACAUGUGCUGGCGCUCACGGAUCCCCCCCCAACGGAGAACUCGCGGCACAGAGAGUGCCAUCUGGAGUGCCAGUCCAGGGGGAGGACGGACGAGUGGAAAGGAGCUAAAAACCAUUCCGGCAAGAUGCCCAUCAUGACCUCCUUGCCCUUCGGAGCAUGUGUUCUUAACAGACUCUCGGGAAGUACACACCUUCUGGCACAUUCUGAGCUGAAGCAGACUAAGAGGCCGCUUCCUGACCCCCAGCGGCCCUCCUCUACCGCUGGCCCGGGACUGACCGGCCGGGCUCCUGCCCGAGGCCUCGAUGGAUUCAGCACGACGUGAAAUGUGCCGGGUGUCACAGGAGCCACGCGGGAGGUGCCCCCGACACAAAGAGCUCAAGCGCUUUGCCUCCCUGUAUUCGUUGUAAUUAAAAUUUUACUGCUGUUGGUACACAUCUAUUUCAUAUCCAAAGGGUUUUUAAGUCAGACUGCUUCAUUUUGAAAGGUUACCUUUGAUUAAGUGCUGAAAGUGAUGAAGGUAACAGAAAGGGUGAGUAUUAAAACCCCAGAGUAUUAAAAUAAAGCUGCAGAAAUAAGCCAUGACCCCCAAUCCCAAAGUCAGCAGCCCUAACUGCUACGCCACCCUGCACCGGACACAGCGGUUGUCUAUCGCGGAGAGAUGGAGAGGGGUGUCGCAGCUUCUGAUGAUGUUUUUACGCCACUUAAUGCAUGUAAAAACGGAGCGAUGCACGUUUUAUUCGGCCCUUCUUUACUGUGACUGAGCUAUAAAAUUGGUAUUAUGAACAAGUCGAGUUGCGAACAGGCUUUUGUUCCGAUGGUGUUCGUAAGUUGAGGAGCCGGCACAUAAUGUGUGUUCUGCACUUCGGUUCCCACUUUGAUCGUAUCGUGUUACUCGUUGCUUGCCUCUCUCCGUGAAAGCGUGACACGAGGGGGAUACACACACACACUCGUGCCGAAGUGUAUUCCCCAAGCUGCCCGCUUAUUUUCCCUCCGCAAGCUGCAGGUCCCAUGGGGCGUGAAGGAAGGUGUUGUUCACCCCCCUGCAGUUGUGAAGGUAUGAUCAUUUAAAUACUGUGUCUUGUCCUGGCUGUUGGAUUUGAGGUGUUCUGAUCUGCUCGCGUGAAAUUGAAAGCAAGCAAAAGAUGCAAAUAAAACUCAGUUUCAAUGAUGGGGAUCAGCAGUUUAUUCUCAUCGGUCACUUUCCGCCAGGACUGAC
Scleropages formosus (Asian bonytongue) is the source of this 4051-nucleotide RNA transcript. It is a transcript of the gene named tigger transposable element-derived protein 1-like, with no coding region annotated. NCBI's taxonomy places the organism in Eukaryota, Metazoa, Chordata, Actinopteri, Osteoglossiformes, Osteoglossidae. The record is from RefSeq and is a predicted model, not a curated record. The transcript is spliced from 3 exons.